CGGUGGAUGCCUUGGCACUAGAAGCCGAUGAAGGACGUUACUAACGACGAUAUGCUUUGGGGAGCUGUAAGUAAGCUUUGAUCCAGAGAUUUCCGAAUGGGGAAACCCAGCAUGAGUUAUGUCAUGUUAUCGAUAUGUGAAUACAUAGCAUAUCAGAAGGCACACCCGGAGAACUGAAACAUCUUAGUACCCGGAGGAAGAGAAAGAAAAUUCGAUUCCCUUAGUAGCGGCGAGCGAAACGGGAAGAGCCCAAACCAACAAGCUUGCUUGUUGGGGUUGUAGGACACUCUAUACGGAGUUACAAAGGACGACAUUAGACGAAUCAUCUGGAAAGAUGAAUCAAAGAAGGUAAUAAUCCUGUAGUCGAAAAUGUUGUCUCUCUUGAGUGGAUCCUGAGUACGACGGAG
Molecule: ribosomal RNA, 407 nt
Filed under: Staphylococcus aureus
Lineage: Bacteria; Bacillati; Bacillota; Bacilli; Caryophanales; Staphylococcaceae
Description: partial 23S ribosomal RNA
Rfam family: Bacterial large subunit ribosomal RNA
Source: RNAcentral